This 207-nucleotide ribosomal RNA is filed under the name uncultured bacterium. RNAcentral's name for it is "partial 16S ribosomal RNA". It matches the Rfam family "Bacterial small subunit ribosomal RNA", at positions 568 to 774 of the family's 1533-position model. The record is from RNAcentral.
UGCGCAGGCGGUUCUUCAAGUCAGUGGUGAAAGCCCGGAGCUCAACUCCGGAACUGCCAUUGAAACUGUAGAGCUCGAGUACGAGAGAGGUGAGUGGAAUUCCCAGUGUAGAGGUGAAAUUCGUAGAUAUUGGGAAGAACACCGGUGGCGAAGGCGGCUCACUGGCUCGUAACUGACGCUCAUGCACGACAGCGUGGGGAUCAAACA